Molecule: ribosomal RNA, 440 nt
Filed under: uncultured bacterium
Lineage: Bacteria
Description: partial 16S ribosomal RNA
Rfam family: Bacterial small subunit ribosomal RNA
Source: RNAcentral
CUACGGGGGGCAGCAGUCGAGGAUAUUUAGCAAUGGGCGAAAGCCUGACUAUGCGACGCCGCGUGAGGGAUGAAGGUUCUCGGAUUGUAAACCUCUUUCAAUGGGGAAGAAUUCUGACGGUACCCAGAGAAGAAGCCACGGCUAACUCCGUGCCAGCAGCCGCGGUAAUACGGAGGUGGCUAGCGUUACUCGGAUUUACUGGGUGUAAAGGGCAUGUAGGCGUCCUGAUAAGUUCUUGGUGAAAUCCUUCUGCUUAACAGAAGAACUGCCAGGAAAACUAUCAGGAUUGAGACUAGGAGAGGAGAGCGGAAUUCCCGGUGUAAGGGUGAAAUCUGCAGAUAUCGGGAGGAACACCAGUAGCGAAGGCGGCUCUCUGGUCUAGACCUGACGCUGAACUGCGAAAGCUAGGGUAGCAAACAGGAUUAGAUACCCGCGUAGUC